CUCUAUGGCCCCACUACUUUGAAAGUGCUUGAACUCAUCUCAUCUCAGAAGCUAAGCAGGGUCAGGCCUAGUUACUACUUGUUUCAGAAACUGCCUGGGAAUACUGGGUACUGACUGC
This 118-nucleotide ribosomal RNA is filed under the name Ophiophagus hannah (king cobra). Lineage: Eukaryota; Metazoa; Chordata; Lepidosauria; Squamata; Elapidae. The record is from RNAcentral.